GACGAACGCUGGCGGCGUGCUUAACACAUGCAAGUCGAACGGAAAGGCCCUGCUUUUGUGGUGUGCUCGAGUGGCGAACGGGUGAGUAACACGUGAGUAUCCUGCCCUUGACUUUGGGAUAACUUCAGGAAACUGGGGCUAAUACCGGAUAGGAGCUCCUGUUCCAUGGUGGGCGUUGGAAAGUCUCGGCUGGUGGGGUUGGACUCGCGGCUGAUCAGCUUGUUGGUGGGGUAGUGGCUUACCAAGGCUUUGACGGGUAGCCGGCCUGGGAGGGUGACCGGCCACAUUGGGACUGCGAUACGGCCCAGACUCCUACGGGAGGCAGAAGUGGGGAGUAUUGCACAGUGGGCGGAAGCCUGUUGCAGCAACGCCGCGUGCGGGAUGACGGCCUUCGGGUUGUAAACCGCUUUCGCCUGUGACGAAGCGUUAGUGACGGUAAUGGGUAAAGAAGCACCGGCUAACUACGUG
RNAcentral lists this ribosomal RNA (468 nucleotides) under uncultured bacterium. RNAcentral describes it as "partial 16S ribosomal RNA". It matches the Rfam family "Bacterial small subunit ribosomal RNA", at positions 28 to 507 of the family's 1533-position model. The record is from RNAcentral.